RNAcentral lists this long non-coding RNA (1003 nucleotides) under Anser brachyrhynchus (Pink-footed goose). RNAcentral describes it as "lncRNA (ENSABRG00000020179.1)". Lineage: Eukaryota; Metazoa; Chordata; Aves; Anseriformes; Anatidae. The record is from RNAcentral.
AUUAAAUUGUUGUGGCAAUAUAGCAACAUUUCUUUGCGUUUGAGAUGUUACAAUUUUUGCCAUUACCUUUCUUUUAGGUAGCAUAAAAAGCUGCAGCUCCAUUUGAACAUCAAGCAAUCUGGGCUUGACUUGAGCAGCUUUGCUUCAGUGCUUUCAGUAAAAUGAGAAAUACAUAAUUGGAGAGAAGGCAACCAGUUGCUAAACUUAAAGCAUGUAGUUGAAUUCAGAGCCGAUAUUUCUUCAAAUUGGGCAAUUUCUGGAAGUCUUGGCAGCUGACAGGGAAGAGAGAAGUGACAGGAGGGCUGGACAAUGAAAGUCCUCGUUCAGAGCUACAAGGACUGCCACAGAAUGGAGGGUCUGAAGGUCAGAAUCACUGUCAACUCCCCAGAGAUGUGAAAAGCACAACCGUAUUUCACCUCCUUCACAAGGAACAGCCCUGGAGAUGUGAAAUCUUAGUAGGUGGUAUCUCUUCUGCUCCAUGACAAUGUAAGUGAUAACAGGCAGAUUACUUCAGUGUGUGUGUGUUGGUGCUUGCAAGAGUGUGGGUAUGAGAAAAUGCAUGAUCAUUAUUAUUAUUAAAUAUGAUCGUCUUCCUCUCUUAUAUGGCCUCAUAUUAAACUUUUCUACAUUAUUUUAGCUUUGUUGCUACAAUGUUGCUGGGAUAUACUAAGUAAAUAUUGCUGUAGCCUCAAAAGUUACACUGGUUCUCUCAACUCAGAUCUCAGUGUUUGUGUUGGUAUGUGAAACAUCAGAAUGGAUUUACAAGGUAUGGCAAAAGAAAAAUUUUCAGCUGCUUGUAUAAGAUAAGUGGAAAUCUUGUGGAUGCAAGUCUGUAAAAAUUUUCAUCUAAUCAAGUCUUUUCUGACAGCAUUUGGGCCAGGGGAGGGAGAUCACUGUUGCAAGCAGGCUACAAGACUUGUGCAAUAGUUAGGUUCUAGCAGUUAAAAAAAAAAAGUUCAUAUAACAAAUAGAAUCCUUUUUUAGCCUCAUUCUAUAUGUAUUA